Molecule: ribosomal RNA, 497 nt
Filed under: uncultured bacterium
Lineage: Bacteria
Description: partial 16S ribosomal RNA
Rfam family: Bacterial small subunit ribosomal RNA
Source: RNAcentral
GAUGAACGCUGGCGGUGUGCCUAAUACAUGCAAGUCGAGCGAACAGACGAGGAGCUUGCUCCUCUGAUGUUAGCGGCGGACGGGUGAGUAACACGUGGAUAACCUACCUAUAAGACUGGGAUAACUUCGGGAAACCGGAGCUAAUACCGGAUAACGUGUUGAACCGCAUGGUUCAACAGUGAAAGACGGUCUUGCUGUCACUUAUAGAUGGAUCCGCGCCGCAUUAGCUAGUUGGUAAGGUAACGGCUUACCAAGGCAACGAUGCGUAGCCGACCUGAGAGGGUGAUCGGCCACACUGGAACUGAGACACGGUCCAGACUCCUACGGGAGGCAGCAGUAGGGAAUCUUCCGCAAUGGGCGAAAGCCUGACGGAGCAACGCCGCGUGAGUGAAGAAGGUCUUCGGAUCGUAAAACUCUGUUAUUAGGGAAGAACAAAUGUGUAAGUAACUAUGCACGUCUUGACGGUACCUAAUCAGAAAGCCACGGCUAACUACGUG